Aegilops tauschii subsp. strangulata is the source of this 1872-nucleotide non-coding RNA. Lineage: Eukaryota; Viridiplantae; Streptophyta; Magnoliopsida; Poales; Poaceae. The record is from RefSeq and is a predicted model, not a curated record.
CUCCACGACCCACCACUCCCCCUUCCUCUCUGCUCCAGACCAAGUUGUGACCGUAUUGGGUUGGGGAUUCACCGGGCCGUGAUGGCGAUGGUGAUGAGGAGAUCAGUAACGGCACUUAGCCUGAGCCAGAGCUCCCUCGCGCCAAGCUCGAGGCUGGGACGCUGCCGAAUCCGUCGCGCCAUGUGCUCCGGCGCGUGGCAGGACGGGGAGUCCGAGGCGGCGGUGCGCGACGUCGUGUGCUUCGGCUCCGGGAGCCUGGACGAGGUGGGAAGCAGGCUGGAUCGCCUGAACUUUGCCAUAUCGCCGGCCCUGGUCAGGCGGGUGAUCGACUCGUGUAGCGAGAGGAGUGAUUCGGGCAGGAGGUUGCUGCGGUUCCUGUCGUGGUGCCGCUCCAAGGACCCCGCCGGAUUGGGGGAUGAGGAGCACGACAGGGCGAUUGCGGUGCUUGCACGGAUGGGUGACCUCACUGCGAUAAAAAUCGCCGUUGGAGAUGGGGAGAAGGAUGGGCGGAGGAUGGCCCCGGAGACGUUCACCGCCGUGGUCGAGGCUCUUGUCAAGGCAGGGAAGGAGGAUGAUGCUGUUAGGUUGUUCAGAGGCUUGGAGAGGCAGAAAUUGCUGCCUCAGCAAGGCCCGGGUGCUGGAGGGGAAGGCAUAUGGUGCAGCAGCCUUGCCAUGGUCCAGACAUUGUGCAUGAAGGGCUAUGCUCGCGAGGCGCAGGGUGUUGUGUGGCACCAUAAGAGCGAGCUCUCAGCGGAGCCCAUGGUCAGCAUCGUUCAGCGUAGCCUCCUCCAUGGAUGGUGUGUCCAUGGAAAUGCUAAGGAAGCUCGGAGAGUCCUUGAUGAUAUCAAGUCCUCAGGCUGCCCAUUGGGAUUGCCGUCGUUCAACGACUUUCUAAACUGCGUGUGCCACAGAAAUCUCAAGUUUAAUCCUUCUGCGCUUGUUUCUGAGGCCAUGGAUAUCUUAACUGAGAUGAGGUCCUAUGGUGUUACCCCUGAUUCCUCCAGCUUCAACAUUUUACUCUCUUGUUUGGGACGAGCAAGAAGAGUGAAAGAGGCAUACAAAAUCCUCUAUUUGAUGAGGGAAGGAGAAGAAGGGUGCUCACCUGACUGGGUUAGCUACUAUCUUGUAGUUAAGGUCCUCUAUUUGACCGAUAGAAUUAUCAGAGGGAAAAGGCUUGUAGAAGAUAUGCUUGAAAGUGGGGUGCUUCCGACAGCAAAGUUUUUCCAUGGCCUCAUCGGCAUCCUUUGUGGAACAGAGAAAGUUGAUCAUGCUCUUGACAUGUUCAAAAUUAUGAAGAGUUGUGGGUUAGUGGACACUCAUACAUAUGAUCUGCUUAUAGAAAAGCUUUCUAGGAGUGGUAGAUUCGAGGUUGCAAAGGAGUUAUGGGAUGAUGCUACUAAGAAUGGCAUUGUGUUAGGGUGCUCAUCGGAUCUGUUGGAUCCCUUGAAGACAGAAGUAUUCAGACCAGUUCGUCCUGCACAAAGACAGACCUCUCAGAACUGUAAGAGCUUGAUCCCAACUAAGAAGGGUACUGCUGCUGGAGCAAUAAAUAAGUAGGAUACUCUGUCCCAGGACAAAGCAGGGAGUCUAGUUCUGUUUUGAGUGCACAUUGAACUUUAUGGACAUAUCUGAGGAGCAACAACAAGAUUUUGGUGUGCUACUAAAGCAGGGGGCUGAAGGAAGGGUAUUUGUUUCGACAUUUGUUGGACGAAAAUGCGUAAUCAAAGAGCGUUUUUCAAAGAAGUAUCGACACCCAGUGCUGGACUCAAAGUUGACUCUAAAACGCUUAAAUGCUGAAGCUAGAUGCAUGACAAAAGCAAGACGGCUUGGUGUUCCUACACCAGUUCUGUAUGCUGUGGACCCUCUUCCACA